GGAAUUUCUCCUAUAUAUUCAUUAUGGGCUACCUUUAUCGGUCUCUACAUUGCCAACUAUGUAGUGGAAAGAUCAACAGGGUAAGUUGACAAUUUUCAGUGAGUGCUAUUUAGGUAGAUAAUAUGGCCUGUAUCUUGGGAUGUGAAUGGGUGGACUGCACUUCAUUGGGCAGCAGGUAGCUAUCUUGAUGUUUAUUAAGUUCUAUUGCAGUGUAUUGUUUAUUGUACUAGUGAUGUAUUUAGAAGUUUUUAUUGGAGAUGAUCCGACUUAUUCAACUUUCAUUUGAUGCUGAAUUGAACCUUUUUU
Molecule: long non-coding RNA, 306 nt
Filed under: Panax ginseng (ginseng)
Lineage: Eukaryota; Viridiplantae; Streptophyta; Magnoliopsida; Apiales; Araliaceae
Description: long non-coding RNA (PGIN_LNC017592)
Source: RNAcentral